GAUCAUGGCUCAGGACGAACGCUGGCGGCGUGCUUAACACAUGCAAGUCGAACGAGAGUCUACGGAUCGAGGAUUCGUCCAAGUGAAGUAGAGGACAGUGGCGGACGGGUGAGUAACGCGUGAGGAACCUGCCUUUCAGAGGGGGACAACAGUUGGAAACGACUGCUAAUACCGCAUGACACAUUGGGCUCGCAUGGCCCUGAUGUCAAAGAUUUAUCGCUGAAAGAUGG
RNAcentral lists this ribosomal RNA (230 nucleotides) under uncultured bacterium. Its description in RNAcentral is "partial 16S ribosomal RNA". It matches the Rfam family "Bacterial small subunit ribosomal RNA", at positions 15 to 228 of the family's 1533-position model. The record is from RNAcentral.